Long non-coding RNA from Sander lucioperca (pikeperch), 336 nucleotides. RefSeq lists it as uncharacterized. Lineage: Eukaryota; Metazoa; Chordata; Actinopteri; Perciformes; Percidae. The transcript is spliced from 3 exons. The record is from RefSeq and is a predicted model, not a curated record.
AGGGUUUCGACCGGAGCCGGAGAGCUAUGAUUGGCCCGUCAGACCGGAAGGGUUCUUCACUCUGCCAGAGAGGAUGUUAUCUGAUGUUAAUACAAAAGGAUUUCAGGGUGAGGGGGUGGGGUUUUUGGGGCGGUCCUCGCUAGAUGUGACCCCUCCCCCUGCAUAUCGGACCAAAGCUUCUUCCCAUCGUGUCCUUGUAAGGACUUAACUGCAGCUGAAGAUCCACUAAAUGACACACCUGCUGCUGCAGAGGGGAAGUUAGAUUCACUGAAGUCCGGCUAAACUCUGUUUUGGGUUUUGUUAUGCAACAAAAUGAGGAAGUGUUUCUUUAAACUU